This 216-nucleotide ribosomal RNA is filed under the name Glomeromycotina sp. RNAcentral's name for it is "partial small subunit ribosomal RNA". The stretch from base 44 to 216 matches the Rfam family "Eukaryotic small subunit ribosomal RNA", at positions 690 to 864 of the family's 1831-position model. The record is from RNAcentral. Lineage: Eukaryota; Fungi; Glomeromycota.
GGGUCAGUAGGUUGGUCGUGCCACCGGCACGUACUGGUCCCACUGAUUCCUCCUUCCUGAAGAACCGUAAUGCCAUUAAUUUGGCGUUGCGGGGAAACAGGACUGUUACUUUGAAAAAAUUAGAGUGUUUAAAGCAAGCUAACGCUUGAAUACAUUAGCAUGGAAUAAUGAAAUAGGACGAUCGAUCCUAUUUUGUUGGUUUCUAGGAUUGACGUA